Molecule: ribosomal RNA, 870 nt
Filed under: Alternaria cesenica
Lineage: Eukaryota; Fungi; Ascomycota; Dothideomycetes; Pleosporales; Pleosporaceae
Description: eukaryotic LSU rRNA
Rfam family: Eukaryotic large subunit ribosomal RNA
Source: RNAcentral
GCGGAGGUAAAAGAAACCAACAGGGAUUGCCCUAGUAACGGCGAGUGAAGCGGCAACAGCUCAAAUUUGAAAUCUGGCUCUUUUAGAGUCCGAGUUGUAAUUUGCAGAGGGCGCUUUGGCUUUGGCAGCGGUCCAAGUUCCUUGGAACAGGACGUCACAGAGGGUGAGAAUCCCGUACGUGGUCGCUGGCUAUUGCCGUGUAAAGCCCCUUCGACGAGUCGAGUUGUUUGGGAAUGCAGCUCUAAAUGGGAGGUACAUUUCUUCUAAAGCUAAAUAUUGGCCAGAGACCGAUAGCGCACAAGUAGAGUGAUCGAAAGAUGAAAAGCACUUUGGAAAGAGAGUCAAACAGCACGUGAAAUUGUUGAAAGGGAAGCGCUUGCAGCCAGACUUGCUUGCAGUUGCUCAUCCGGGCUUUUGCCCGGUGCACUCUUCUGCAGGCAGGCCAGCAUCAGUUUGGGCGGUAAGAUAAAGGUCUCUGUCACGUACCUCUCUUCGGGGAGGCCUUAUAGGGGAGACGACAUAUUACCAGCCUGGACUGAGGUCCGCGCAUCUGCUAGGAUGCUGGCGUAAUGGCUGUAAGCGGCCCGUCUUGAAACACGGACCAAGGAGUCUAACAUCUAUGCGAGUGUUUGGGUGUCAAGCCCGAGCGCGUAAUGAAAGUGAACGGAGGUAGGAACCCGCAAGGGUGCACUAUCGACCGAUCCUGAUGUCUUCGGAAGGAUUUGAGUAAGAGCAUGGCUGUUGGGACCCGAAAGAUGGUGAACUAUGCUUGAAUAGGGUGAAGCCAGAGGAAACUCUGGUGGAGGCUCGCAGCGGUUCUGACGUGCAAAUCGAUCGUCAAAUUUGGGCAUAGGGCGAAAGACUAAUCGA